UGGCUCUGUUCAAAGGUGAUGAACUUUCC
Molecule: non-coding RNA, 29 nt
Filed under: Homo sapiens (human)
Lineage: Eukaryota; Metazoa; Chordata; Mammalia; Primates; Hominidae
Source: RNAcentral